AUACGGGGGGUGCAAGCGUUAUUCGGAAUUAUUGGGCGUAAAGGGCGCGUAGGCGGUCUUGUCGGUCAGAUGUGAAAGCCCGGGGCUCAACCCUGGAAGUGCAUUUGAAACAGCAAGACUUGAGUACGGGAGAGGAGAGCGGAAUUCCUGGUGUAGAGGUGAAAUUCGUAGAUAUCAGGAGGAACACCGAUGGCGAAGGCAGCUCUCUGGACCGAUACUGACGCUGAGGCGCGAAGGCGUGGGUAGCGAACAGGAUUAGAAACCCCGGUAGUCC
Molecule: ribosomal RNA, 274 nt
Filed under: uncultured bacterium
Lineage: Bacteria
Description: partial 16S ribosomal RNA
Rfam family: Bacterial small subunit ribosomal RNA
Source: RNAcentral